This 212-nucleotide long non-coding RNA is filed under the name Elaeis guineensis (African oil palm). RNAcentral's name for it is "long non-coding RNA (EGUI_LNC070614)". The record is from RNAcentral. Lineage: Eukaryota; Viridiplantae; Streptophyta; Magnoliopsida; Arecales; Arecaceae.
CCGGGGGGAGGGGCGCUAGCCCAGCCAGUUGGCUCGGAAAGCUCCAGCUCGUACUCUGAAGGAAUCCCGUACUGAAUCCUAAUCAAUAAGAGUUCGUCCGAAGUCAGAGAACUGGGAAUGGUGUCUGGUACAAAGAUCGAACGAGGUCCAUCUACAGAACUAAGAUUUUGGGGGGCUGGAACAGACGAACUCCUAGAACUACUAGAGGAGGA